Molecule: ribosomal RNA, 692 nt
Filed under: uncultured fungus
Lineage: Eukaryota; Fungi
Description: eukaryotic LSU rRNA
Rfam family: Eukaryotic large subunit ribosomal RNA
Source: RNAcentral
UCUUAGGGACAAAAAUAUUGACAAUUUGACCUCAAAUCAGGUAGGACUACCCGCUGAACUUAAGCAUAUCAAUAAGCGGAGGAAAAGAAACUAACAAGGAUUCCCCUAGUAACUGCGAGUGAAGCGGGAAAAGCUCAAAUUUAAANUCUGGUAGUCUUUGGCUGCCCGAGUUGUAAUCUAGAGAAGUGUUAUCCGCGCUGGACCGUGUACAAGUCUCCUGGAAUGGAGCGUCAUAGAGGGUGAGAAUCCCGUCUUUGACACGGACUGCCAGGGCUUUGUGAUGCGCUCUCAAAGAGUCGAGUUGUUUGGGAAUGCAGCUCUAAAUGGGUGGUAAAUUCCAUCUAAAGCUAAAUAUUGGCGAGAGACCGAUAGCGAACAAGUACCGUGAGGGAAAGAUGAAAAGAACUUUGGAAAGAGAGUUAAACAGUACGUGAAAUUGUUGAAAGGGAAACGCUUGAAGUCAGUCGCGUUGGCCGGGGAUCAACCUUGCUUUUCUGCUUGGUGUACUUCCUGGUUGAUGGGUCAGCAUCAAUUUUGACCAGUGGAAAAAGGUCAGGGGAAUGUGGCAUCUUCGGAUGUGUUAUAGCCCUUGGUUGCAUACAUUGGUUGGGAUUGAGGAACUCAGCACGCCGCAAGGCCGGGUUUUUACCACGUUCGUGCUUAGGAUGCUGGCAUAAUGGCUUUAAUCGACC